CCUACGGGCGGCAGCAGUGAGGAAUAUUGGUCAAUGGACGAGAGUCUGAACCAGCCAAGUAGCGCGAAGGAUGACUGCCCUAUGGGUUGUAAACUUCUUUUAUAUGGGAAUAAAACAAGGUAUGCAUACCCUCUUGUAUGUACCAUAUGAAUAAGGAUCGGCUAACUCCGUGCCAGCAGCCGCGGUAAUACGGAGGAUCCGAGCGUUAUCCGGAUUUAUUGGGUUUAAAGGGAGCGUAGGUGGAUUGUUAAGUCAGUUGUGAAAGUUUGCGGCUCAACCGUAAAAUUGCAGUUGAAACUGGCAGUCGUGAGUACAGUAGAGGUGGGCGGAAUUCGUGGUGUAGCGGUGAAAUGCUUAGAUAUCACGAAGAACUCCGAUUGCGAAGGCAGCUUACUGGACUGCAACUGACACUGAUGCUCGAAAGUGUGGGUAUCAAACAGGAUUAGAUACCCCAGUAGUC
RNAcentral lists this ribosomal RNA (460 nucleotides) under uncultured bacterium. Its description in RNAcentral is "partial 16S ribosomal RNA". It matches the Rfam family "Bacterial small subunit ribosomal RNA", at positions 338 to 795 of the family's 1533-position model. The record is from RNAcentral.